This 937-nucleotide long non-coding RNA is filed under the name Homo sapiens (human). RNAcentral describes it as "non-protein coding lnc-PRDM11-3:14". The record is from RNAcentral. Lineage: Eukaryota; Metazoa; Chordata; Mammalia; Primates; Hominidae.
GCCCCUUGGAAGCCAAGAAUAUGAGGAAGUCUUCUUCCUUCGCGCCUUCUUCUUCCUUACGCUCCAGGGCAGCCUGACAGAGCCGCUCGAAGGCUCUGCUGGCCGCGGCUAGCCGGUUUACCCAUUCCACUGGACCCAGCCACCACCCACUCCUGCUGUCUGAGGCUACAGGAGACCAGAGCCAUUGACUUUUAUUUUUAAAAUGAAGAUCUCUUUUACUUGAAGGAACUUAAGAAUUUUGGCAUUCAAAUAGGGGCUGGAAGACUUGAAAGCAGUAGAAAUUUCACCACAGGUGAUAGGAAAGGAUGAUCACGAAAUGAAUAUCUCCUGACUUGCACACCUAGUGAGCAGAGCCAGGAAGGACCUCCUUCACCUUAGCAUUUGGAACAGGCUGCAAAGUUCAUUCUUCCUCAUAGCAGCCCCUGCAUUCAGUUUGGUUUAGUUGUUUUAUGUGGUUUCUAGCCUGAUUUUUUUUUUCAGGGUGCAGCAGAAGUCUCAGGUAGCUGAGAAGUUCAUGGAAUCUUCUUAUUUGCUACACCUUUCACUACUGCUUGUGAUAUAGUGCAGGGUUGGGAUGUGCAGACAUUUCUCAAGUGCACUGUGUACCUACACAGCAUGCUGCAAUUUGGCUACUGAAGUCAAGAGAAACUGGUUUGAACAACUACUGAGUGUAACAUAGGAAGCGCAUUUCAUUUGAUAACAGGAACACAGCUUUUGUGCUAAUAAAAUGCUUUGAAAAUUAGUGUGUGGUCUUUAGUAAUUAGCAUAUACAUUUUAGUUAUCCAUUGGUUCAUAACAAACGGACUAAAUAGGUACCCCACUGAGUCAUUUAUCUAAAUGAAAAGUUUGGUUAAAUUGUAGUUGUAGGCAUUGAUCAAAGCUAAUGGGAAAAAGAGAUUAAGAUGAAAAUCAUGGGAUUAAAUUUUUAAUUAGUUUG